GACGAACGCUGGCGGCGUGCUUAACACAUGCAAGUCGAACGGUGAAGCCCCAGCUUGCUGGAGUGGAUCAGUGGCGAACGGGUGAGUAACACGUGAGCAACCUGCCCCUGACUCUGGAAUAAGCGCUGGAAACGGCGUCUAAUACUGGAUACGAGAAGGGUCCGCAUGGGCACUUUCUGGAAAGUUUUUCGGUUGGGGAUGGGCUCGCGGCCUAUCAGCUUGUUGGUGAGGUAAUGGCUCACCAAGGCGACGACGGGUAGCCGGCCUGAGAGGGCGACCGGCCACACUGGGACUGAGACACGGCCCAGACUCCUACGGGAGGCAGCAGUGGGGAAUAUUGCACAAUGGGCGAAAGCCUGAUGCAGCGACGCCGCGUGGGGGAUGACGGCCUUCGGGUUGUAAACCUCUUUCAGCAGGGAAGAAGCGAAAGUGACGGUACCUGCAGAAGAAGCACCGGCUAACUACGUG
This 468-nucleotide ribosomal RNA is filed under the name uncultured bacterium. RNAcentral's name for it is "partial 16S ribosomal RNA". It matches the Rfam family "Bacterial small subunit ribosomal RNA", at positions 28 to 507 of the family's 1533-position model. The record is from RNAcentral.